CUUUUCCAGUGUCAGGACCUGAAUGGGAUGGAUCCAUAAUUGGGUGUGAUUGGCCCUUCCCUUUUUGCUGACUCCUAGUAAGAACGAUAUGGACACAUUCCACCCGAUUUACUGGAGAGUCUUGAGGACCUCAAUUUAUUCCCUCCAUUUUUCUUGGACUCUGGAUCUGAUGAUCUCGAUUAUUAAAAUUGAAUGGAGCAUUACAUUGCUGAUACGUAUGCCCUGACUGCUUGUAAUUCCCACAAACUCACGCAUAAU
Molecule: long non-coding RNA, 258 nt
Filed under: Physcomitrium patens
Lineage: Eukaryota; Viridiplantae; Streptophyta; Bryopsida; Funariales; Funariaceae
Description: long non-coding RNA (PPAT_LNC012309)
Source: RNAcentral